RNAcentral lists this ribosomal RNA (253 nucleotides) under uncultured bacterium. RNAcentral's name for it is "partial 16S ribosomal RNA". It matches the Rfam family "Bacterial small subunit ribosomal RNA", at positions 524 to 776 of the family's 1533-position model. The record is from RNAcentral.
UACGUAGGGUGCAAGCGUUGUCCGGAAUUAUUGGGCGUAAAGAGCUCGUAGGCGGUCUGUCGCGUCGGCUGUGAAAUCCCGGAGCUCAACUCCGGGCCUGCAGUCGAUACGGGCGGACUAGAGUUCGGCAGGGGAGACUGGAAUUCCUGGUGUAGCGGUGAAAUGCGCAGAUAUCAGGAGGAACACCGGUGGCGUAGGCGGGUCUCUGGGCCGAUACUGACGCUGAGGAGCGAAAGCGUGGGGAGCGAACAGG